This 509-nucleotide ribosomal RNA is filed under the name uncultured Oscillibacter sp. Its description in RNAcentral is "partial 16S ribosomal RNA". The record is from RNAcentral. Lineage: Bacteria; Bacillati; Bacillota; Clostridia; Eubacteriales; Oscillospiraceae.
CACGUAGUUAGCCGUGGCUUAUUCAAGGGGUACCGUCUUCUGCUCUUCCCCCUUAAAAGAAGUUUACAACCCGAAAGCCUUCUUCCUUCACGCGGCGUUGCUGGGUCAGACUUGCGUCCAUUGCCCAAUAUUCCCCCACUGCUGCCUCCCGUAGGAGUCUGGGCCGUAUCUCAGUCCCAAUGUGGCCGGUCAACCUCUCAGUCCGGCUACUGAUCGUCGCCUUGGUAGGCCGUUACCCUGCCAACUAGCUAAUCAGACGCGAGGCCAUCUUCCAGCGAUAAAUCUUUGACACUUUCAAACCCGAUGCGAUUCAAAUGUGUCAUGCGGUAUUAGCAGUCGUUUCCAACUGUUGUCCCCCGUCUGGAAGGCAGGUUCCUCACGCGUUACUCACCAGUCCGCCACUAAGCAUUCCUAUCCAUUGACCGAAAUCUCUUUCAAGGGUGCUCCGUUCGACUUGCAUGUGUUAAGCACGCCGCCAGCGUCGUCCUCGUGCCAGGAGUCAAACGUAC